Molecule: ribosomal RNA, 280 nt
Filed under: uncultured bacterium
Lineage: Bacteria
Description: partial 16S ribosomal RNA
Rfam family: Bacterial small subunit ribosomal RNA
Source: RNAcentral
ACUCCUACGGGAGGCAGCAGUGGGGAAGUAUUGCACAAUGGCAGGCAAGCCAUGCAUGCAGCCAUGCCGCGUGUGUGAAGAAGGCCUUCGGGUUGUAAAGCACUUUCAGUCGUGAGGAAGGUAGUGUAGUUAAUAGCUGCAUUAUUUGACGUUAGCGACAGAAGAAGCACCGGCUAACUCCGUGCCAGCAGCCGCGGUAAUACGGAGGGUGCGAGCGUUAAUCGGAAUUACUGGGCGUAAAGCGCAUGCAGGUGGUUUGUUAAGUCAGAUGUGAAAGCCC